CCAGGAGGUUGGCUUAGAAGCAGCCAUCCUUUAAAGAAAGCGUAAUAGCUCACUGGUCUAGUGGUUCUGCGCCGAAGAUGUAACGGGGCUAAGUAUGGUACCGAAGCCACGGGUCGAUUCUAAGGAAUCGGCGGUAGGGGAGCGUUCUCCUAAGGGAUGAAGGUAUGCCGUGAGGUAUGCUGGACUAAGGAGAAGUGAUAAUGCUGGCAUGAGUAACGAUAAAACGGGUGAGAAACCCGUUCGCCGUAAACCCAAGGUUUCCUGGGUAAAGCUAAUCUGCCCAGGGUUAGUCGGCCCCUAAGGCGAGGCCGAAAGGCGUAGCUGAUGGGAAACAGGUUAAUAUUCCUGUACCUGCUGGGUAGUCGUUUGAGCGAAGGGGGGACGCAGGAGGGUAGGUCAGCCACCUGUUGGAAUAGGUGGUUCAAGCCUGUAGGCUGGGGACUCAGGCAAAUCCGGGUCCCUGAUAAGGCUGAGAGGUGAUGACGAGUCAAUAAAGACGGAAGUGACUGAGCCCAUGCUGCCGAGAAAAGCCUCUAAGCGAGACUACCUGGUGGACCGUACCGCAAACCGACACAGGUGGGUGGGGUGAGUAACCCAAGGCGCUUGAGAGAACUCUGGCUAAGGAACUCGGCAAAAUGACCCCGUAACUUCGGGAGAAGGGGUGCUUUUUCGGGUGAAGGGAUUUACUUCUGGAGCCUGGGAGAGCCGCAGAGAAAUGGCGGGGGCGACUGUUUACUAAAAACACAGGUCUCUGCUAAGUCGUAAGACGAAGUAUAGGGACUGACGCCUGCCCGGUGCCGGAAGGUUAAGGGGAUCAGUUAGCCUUCGGGCGAAGCUGUGAACCGAAGCCCCGGUAAACGGCGGCCGUAACUAUAACGGUCCUAAGGUAGCGAAAUUCCUUGUCGGGUAAGUUCCGACCUGCACGAAUGGCGUAACGAUCUCCGCGCUGUCUCGGCCAGAGACUCAGUGAAAUUGAAAUCUCGGUGAAGAUGCCGAGUACCCGCAGCAAGACGGAAAGACCCUGUGCACCUUUACUACAGCUUGACAUUGGACUUUGGGCUAUCAUGUGUAGGAUAGGUGGGAGGCUGUGAAGCCGGUACGCCAGUAUCGGUGGAGCCGCCCUUGAAAUACCACCCUUGGUAGUCUAGGGUUCUAACCCAGAGCCGUGAAUCCGGUCUGGGGACAGUGUCUGGUGGGUAGUUUGACUGGGGCGGUCGCCUCCCAAAGAGUAACGGAGGCGUGCAAAGGUUCCCUCAGGCUGAUUGGAAACCAGCCGUUGAGUGCAAAGGCAUAAGGGAGCUUGACUGUGAGAGAGACAUCUCGAGCAGGGACGAAAGUCGGCCUUAGUGAUCCGGUGGUUCCGCAUGGAAGGGCCAUCGCUCAUCGGAUAAAAGGUACGCCGGGGAUAACAGGCUGAUCGCGUCCAAGAGUUCACAUCGACGACGCGGUUUGGCACCUCGAUGUCGGCUCAUCACAUCCUGGGGCUGGAGCAGGUCCCAAGGGU
This 1504-nucleotide ribosomal RNA is filed under the name metagenome. Its description in RNAcentral is "bacterial LSU rRNA". It matches the Rfam family "Bacterial large subunit ribosomal RNA", at positions 1093 to 2572 of the family's 2925-position model. The record is from RNAcentral.